This 486-nucleotide ribosomal RNA is filed under the name Proteocatella sp. canine oral taxon 007. Its description in RNAcentral is "bacterial SSU rRNA". It matches the Rfam family "Bacterial small subunit ribosomal RNA", at positions 9 to 497 of the family's 1533-position model. The record is from RNAcentral. Lineage: Bacteria; Bacillati; Bacillota; Clostridia; Peptostreptococcales; Filifactoraceae.
GAGUUUGAUCCUGGCUCAGGAUGAACGCUGGCGGCGUGCUUAACACAUGCAAGUCGAGCGGAGUCAUAGUAGAAAGAUCUUCGGAAAUGGAAAUUAUGUACUUAGCGGCGGACGGGUGCGUAACGCGUGGGUAAUCUGCCCUUAUCAUCGGGAUAACACAACGAAAGAUGUGCUAAUACCGAAUAACAUGCAUUUUCGGCAUCGAAGAUGUAUCAAAGUGUUAGCGGAUAAGGAUGAGCCUGCGUCUGAUUAGCUAGUUGGUGGGGUAAUGGCCUACCAAGGCGACGAUCAGUAGCCGACCUGAGAGGGUGAUCGGCCACACUGGAACUGAGACACGGUCCAGACUCCUACGGGAGGCAGCAGUGGGGAAUAUUGCACAAUGGGCGCAAGCCUGAUGCAGCAACGCCGCGUGAGCGAUGAAGGUCUUCGGAUCGUAAAGCUCUGUCGCAUGGGAAGAUAAUGACGUACCAUGUGAGGAGCCCCGCA